This 6339-nucleotide long non-coding RNA is filed under the name Sus scrofa (pig). RNAcentral's name for it is "lncRNA (ENSSSCG00005032697.1)". The record is from RNAcentral. Lineage: Eukaryota; Metazoa; Chordata; Mammalia; Artiodactyla; Suidae.
AAGAAGAGAGCCACCCUGCAGAAAAGGGGCUCAGGAAGGGACGUGGAGCCGUGAGCUAGGGCCCAGCUCUGACUCGACCCCUAGUCUGGGAACCUCCAUAUGCCAUGGGUGUGGCCCUAAAAAAAUAAAAAAAGACACUUGCAAAAAAUCUGACUUCAGUGGCUUAGGUGGAUGCAGAGGCACUGGUUCGAUUCCCGGCCCAGCACAGCGGGCUAAGGGAUCCAGCAAAGCUGCAGUUGCGGCAUAGGUCACAGCUGUGGCUCAGAUUCAGUCCUGGCCUGGGAACUUCCAUAGGCUGUGGGUGCAGCCAUAAAAUUAAAAAAAGAAAAGAAAAGAAAUAUGGUGGCAGAUGGGGAUCCAGCAGGGUGGUUUGGGGGCGAUGUGAGGUGGCACAGCUCCAUGUCUGGCCAGGGAUGGCCUGGAUUGUCUGCUAACGGUGCCCGGAAGUCGCGGAAACCAGCUUCGCUCUCGAAGGGUGAUCAGCAAUGGGCUGAGCCUUUGCUUUUCUAUCUUUGAUGUCACAGCCUCUCUGGGGGGCUUCCUGUCCUUGCUCCAGCCUUACAGGUGGCCCUGGGACUUUAAGAGUCACACCGCCUGCCUGCUCAGUCAGUGUUUACACGUCUCUCCCCGCCUCCUCGCAUUCCCUGCGCUAAGGGAGGAGGCGGUUAAUUUUUAAGCUGCUCAAUUCAACAACUGUUUCUAGGUUUGCUUUGGCCAGGCUGUAACCAGAUGUAGCUCGCUGACCACAGGUCCGCGGAGGCCUGCCACCUGCCCAGGACCCACGGGGAGGCCAGGCCAGUUUGAGGAGUCCGUUUAUCCACCUCUGUUAGACAGACCUGGGCCUGUGUUUUAACGUCUGGCUGUUGAUUUUCUGUGUUUUGCUUUUUAGGGCCACACCCGCGGCAUAUGGAGGUUCCCAGGCUAGGGCUCGAAUCGGAGCUACAGCUGUCGGCCUACGCUACAGCCACAGCCAGGCAGGAUCUGAGCAGCGUCUGCAACCUACACCAUAGCUCACGGCAAUGCCAGAUCCUUCGCCCACUGAGCGAGGCCAUGGUUCCUAGUCGCAUUCCUUAACCACUGAGCCACGACUGGAACUCCUCCCCCAUGCCUUUUAGUGGCCUGAUAGCCCCCCCCCCCCCCUUUUUCCUUUUUUUUUUACACCCACCCCUGCCGCACAUGGAGGUUUCCAGGCUCGGGGUUGCAUCGGAGCUGCAGCUGCCAGCCUACAGCAUGGUCACAGCAAUACUAGAUCUGAGCCACAUCUGUGACCUACACUGUAGCUUGUGUCAACGCUGGAUCUUUAACCCACUGAGUGAGGCCAGGGAUUGAAACAGCCUCCUCACAGAGACAGUGUCAGGUUCUUAACCCGCUGAGCCACAGUGGGAACUCUUUUCUUUUUUUUUUUUUUUUUUUAACUGCUGAAUCAUAUGCCAUUGUCUGGAUGUAUGGUUUAUUUGUGCAUUCACCCCCCAAAGGACAUCUCGUUGCUUCCCUAUCUUGGUUUUUAUUUUUGCAAGUUAUCACUCGAGUCAAAGAGCCAUGAAGAAUUGUGAAGUUCAGCUCUUCUUCUGGGUAUUUUUAUUCCUUUUCCUGUAAGUUCCCCUUCCUGGUAGACUGUCCCCACCAUUUUUUUUCCUGACUCAUUAUAAUUAGAAGAAAAUCACUUUAGGGAGUUCCCGUCGUGGCUCACUGCUAAUGAACCUGGCUAGUAUCCAUAAGGACACGGGUUCGAUCGCUGGCCUUGCUUGGUGGGUUAAGGAUCUGACGUUGCCAUGAGCUGUGUUGUAGGUCGCAGAUGCCAGUUGGAUCUGGGGUGGCUGUGGCUGUGGCGUAGGCCAGUGGCUGCAGUGCUGAUUGGACCCCUAGCCUGGGGAGUUCCAUAGGCCACAAGUGUGGCCCUAAAAAAAAAAAAAAAGAAGAAAGUCACGUUGCUACAGGUAUAUUCAUGGCUGUGGCUGUCGUCCCACUGAAACUGUUACUCUGAGGCCCAGGAUUUGGGGAACAGCCCCACAUGCGAAUUCCUACCAGCGAAGCCGUGGCACGGGCUCUGGGUCGGCUCCUGCAGUCAGCAAGCCGCGUGCAGCUGCACUAGCAAAGUGCUAUUUUAUAUAAGCAGGGCCAUUUCCUUUGUACAGGAAUUCAUGUUUUUCAACCCUAAAUAAUCUGGGCCAAGCAGGGGCCUCCGUUGUGGGGUCUUGGAACUGUCUGGGACCUGAAGGUGGCCAGCAGGAAGGAGCCACUGCGAAUGGGAGAAGUUUGUCCCCUGAGCAACACUGCCAGGGGUAGUUCUGGCACCUUCUUCUGCUGGCACUUCAGACCCUGCUGGGCACUGGACGGGCCUGCAGGCACUGCGUUCACCAUUUUACACAAGAGGAAACAGGCAUGUGGCCGGGUGACAGGACCAAGUGGCUGCGAUGUUGACAGUGUCAUUCCAUCGUGGCUGAUUUGCUCUGGAAUAUGGCCUAGGGUUAAGCUCUGUUUAUGUGGGAUUCACUAGCCCUGCCCCCAAAAAGCUCAGAAAGGAAUUAAUCUUCUUUUGAAAUAUACGUGUUUUAAAUAAAUCACGUCCUUUCCACAUCACUAAGUCACGUCCUUUCCACGUUCUGUUUUCAGUACGUCAUCAUUUUUCAUUCCACAUUGUGUUGUGGCUGAUGUGGCAGCUUCCAUAGGCACCUAGUGAAACUGCUCUUACCCGCUGGCUGCUCCAUUAGGCUAGUUACCUAGUUAGCAGGAGGAGAGCCCGGGCUGCUGCCUGUCCAGCUGCACUCUGUUACCUGUCUGUCUGUCUGUCUUCUAUCUAUCUAUCUAUCUGUCAUCUAUCUAUCUCUCCGCUUAUUUCGGCCACACCUGCUGCAGCAUGUAGAAGUUCCUGGGCCAGAGAUCGAACCUGCGCCGCAGUUGUCCACCUGAGCCACAGCAGUGACAAUGCCGGAUCCUUAACAUGCUGAGCUGCCAGGAAACUCUGCAGCUGUUAUUUAGACUGGACAGUGGAGCCUGCUUUUGAGCCACAUCCUUCUCACUCCAGCCUGACUCCCCUGGAGCCAUGCCCCCUGGGCGGGGGAGUCCACCGGGGCCAGUUGUCACAGAUUCCUGGCUGCAGAUGUCAUCUGUGAGGGGAGGGCGCCUGAGACUGAGCACUGCUCAGGUUUCUCAGGAUACCUUUUGACAUUCUGGGAACACAUGUUUUUGUGACUUCAUCCGCAGUGAGGCUCCGUGCUUUUGGGAAGGACUUGGUGGUUGAUCAAUCCCGUGACUGCGGGUGCUGGGACGUGCAGGUCGGUUGCCCCUGCCUGCAGUCCCACCUGUCUUCUCUGGGACCUGACUCAGCACCUCAAAACCCUGUUCCAACAGGGUUUUAGUUUUGUCAGCUUUGUUUUAAUGAAUGAUGCAAUUGUUGGAAUAUAUGGGUAGUGUCUCAAGGUGACUUGUAAAGAGCUUCCAACAAAUUUAAGUGUGUACGUUCUAGAAGAUUCCUUCAAAAACAGCCCUUCCUGCACCAUCAUCUUUGGCCCGUGCAUCUUUGGUCCUUUAUAGAGAGAGCGCUGGGUGAGGCCUGUGUGACAAAUGAGCCAGUGCCCUGUGUCCCCCACACCUGUAGGACUUGGGGGGACGGGAGGAACGGAACGGUAGCAGUGAUGGUUUGAAGUAUUUUUAGCAAAUGGAUUCCGGUUUAUUAUGGGGCCCCCCUGUUGUGCAAAGGGGACUUAGUUACCUGGGAGAGGAUCAAACGUAAUCAAGCAAGCCAGCUCCCCAAGGCCGAGGGCAGAGAGGGGACAGGUGUCCACCUGCAGGGCAUCCAGAGGGUAGUGCCAUCUGACCCAGGAAGCCAGGCUCUGAUGACAGUAAGGGCAUUUGGGUCCACGAGGCCCCUUGAUUCAAAGCAGACGGCACCCUGGUGAUGACAGUGACAGAUGUGUCCCGGCCCUGACAGGCAGCAGGGCAGAGCCAGCUGUGGAAGGGACCUCAUGCAGCCGGGAACAUGGUGCCCAGGAGAGCUGCCCUGGGGCCAGGCUGCUGUGGGCACCUGUCACUCGAAUGUCAACAAAAGCAAGAAAAAGAGCUUGGUGAAUCUUCUUUUCCUCUCUGCAUUCUCCAGUUCAUGCCGCUCUUAUAGGUGAUUCUUUCCCUGCACCUGCCCUUAUUUUGGGAGAACAAAAAGUAGAAAAUGGAAACUUCCAGGUGUAGCUGUCAGGAGCAGCCCCUUGAGCCGUGGGACCCACUGGAGAAGGGGCUCCGGACCUGGUCGGGGUUCUGAUGGCAGCUCCGUCAAUGCAGGCCUCGUGUCCUUUAUAAAUGGGUAAAGCAGUGUAUUCCGUUGGCCCUGGAACAUUCUCUAGACGCCACAGCACAUCCUCCGAGCUUCAGCAUACGCUUGUCAUGACACCCUGGGAUCCAGGUUCCAGGAACUUUUCUCUUGGUUUGGGGUGCGUUCCAGCUCUGGCCGGGACACCUCUCAUUAUGUCACCCCUCUUUUCCCUCCGUUGUCUCCCCAGCCCCACGUUCAGGCUGGUAGGGGUGACAGAAGCCUGCACUGACUUCAUUGUCCCUGUCCCUGUGGGGGGCACAUGCUGGUGGGCUUUGGGGACAUGUGCUUCUGCAGGCCUUGUGCUCAAGGGCACUUGAUGGCUUUGGACCCACUCCCACCUUGGCCUUGGACACCCCGUGCCUCCUGGCACCCCGCAUCCUGCCUCUGAGCACGUGUGUCCGUGGCCAGCACCACCACCCGGGUGAGGACAGAGGGCCAGCGCUGGGGUCACUGGGUCACGCCUGCCUCCGGUGAUGCCCAGUGAGCCUCUGGGAGUGUUUCACGGCGGCGGGGGUCGGGGGGUCUGCGUCAGCAGCUCCGCGCCUCUCACUUGAACCCGCUGGCCGUUAUCCUCGGAGGAGAACAGUCCUAAUCCACCUGCCGGUUUUAUUUUCGUGGGGCUGCUUCUGGCGGAGAGUUUUCCUAAAUAGAAAACCCAUGGCUCCUUUGAGAGCAGGAUGAAAAUAAUCAGCGAAGCAUUUGAAUCCCCACCCCCACAUUUUAAUCUGUAAAAUUAAACUCCCGUUUCCCCCUGUGCUUUGUUUUGUCUCUCGUAAAGCGGGUUAUUUUGAGCAGGGAUUCAGGAAGGGCCGGCCUCCUCUUUUCCUUCGAGCUCAGAAAUAGCUCCUGGGAUGGGUGUCCUCCGGGCGGAUCCGGGUGCAGUUCAUCUUUGUGUGUUUCUAGGCAUUUUUGACUCUUACCUUCUCACCAGCCCCGUGUGUCUCCGCACCUUUCAGCUCCUAAGCCCCCUGCAACCCCCCACUCGGGAACUUUCGGAGCCGGUAGGCCUUCUGGUCUACCAGAGCUGAGCACCGGACUCUGGGCUCUCAGCCUCCCCUGCCUCUGCUUAGACCGUCUUUUUUUUUUUUUUUUUAAUUAUGUUUCACAUUAUUUUUUUAUUCCGUCCUUCCUCCCUCUUUCUUCCUUUCUUUCUCGUUCUCUCUUUCUCCCCGCCUCCCCCCUCUCUCCCUUCCUUCCUUCCCCUGCGGCAUAUGGGAUUCCUGGGCCAGGGGUCAGAUCCCGGCCACAGUUGUGACCUAAGCCACAGUUGCAGCAACACUGGAUCCUUAACCCACUGUGCCGGGCUGGAGAAUUGAACCUGCGUCCCAGCGCUCCCAAGAUGCCGCUGAUCCCCUUGCGCCACAGCGGGAACUCCCAGACGGUCUUUAGUGUAAACACACCACCGCUUCCUUGUGGAGGAGGGCUGAGAAGUCAGAAACUCGGAGUCCAGAGUCUUUAUCGAAACCCUCGUCAUUUUGGAGGCUGUCUUCUUUAUUUUCAGCGAGUGUGCUGCGAGGGCCUUGCCUGGCGGUAGGAGGCCCCUGCAAAGCAGAGUGCUGCCUGGGGAGGACCUGGUUGCAGCAAAGGGGCAGCAGGAAGGCGCUCACGGGUGUUUGAGGGAGAACCUGGCAGGUGGGGCUGGUGGCCUGGGCAGAUGGGGACGGGCUUGCCCCAGUUCUAGGUUCUGUUUGGGAUCCUGGGUGGCAGAAUUGGCAGGAUUUUGUAAAUAUGGAGGAGGUUUAGGCUCGUCUGGUGAGCUCCCAUGGGUUUAGUGGAAUAUGAUUAUAUGGACAUUUACAGUGAGUGAGCUGACCCUUCUGGGCCUAAUGCUAAAUUUAAAAUUUUUUCUGGAGUUCCUGUCGUGGCGCAGUGGAAGUGAAUCCGACUAGGAACCAUGAGGUUGCAGGUUGGAUCCCUGGCCUCGCUCAGUGGGUUAAGGAUCUUGCGUUGCUGUGGCUGUGGUGUAGGCUGGCAGCUGCAGCUUUGAUUGGACCCCUAGCCUGGGAACCUCCAUAUGCCUCGGGUGCAGCCCU